CUACGGGGUGCUGCAGUGGGGAAUAUUGGACAAUGGGCGCAAGCCUGAUCCAGCAAUGCCGCGUGAGUGAAGACGGCCUUAGGGUUGUAAAACUCUUUCGCUGGGGAAGAUAAUGACUGUACCUAGUAAAGAAGUCCCGGCUAACUCCGUGCCAGCAGCCGCGGUAAUAUGGAGGGGACUAGCGUUGUUCGGAAUUACUGGGCGUAAAGAGUUCGUAGGCGGACUGACAAGUUAGAGGUGAAAUCCCAGGGCUCAACCCUGGAACUGCCUUUAAAACUGUCAGUCUAGAGACCGGAAGAGGUUAGGGGAAUACCUAGUGUAGAGGUGAAAUUCGUAGAUAUUAGGUGGAACACCAGUAGCGAAGGCGCCUAACUGGUCCGGUACUGACGCUGAGGAACGAAAGCGUGGGGAGCAAACAGGAUUAGAUACCCCCGUAGUC
This 439-nucleotide ribosomal RNA is filed under the name uncultured bacterium. RNAcentral describes it as "partial 16S ribosomal RNA". It matches the Rfam family "Bacterial small subunit ribosomal RNA", at positions 339 to 795 of the family's 1533-position model. The record is from RNAcentral.